GGAUGUGAGGAUGGUCUGGCUGCGACAUCUGUCACUCCACAGAUCUCUAGGGUUGAUUCAGCUGAUCUGGCUGGCUAGACAGGUGUCCCCUUCCUCCCUCACAACUUCACGUAUGUCCCUCCUGAAGCUAUGCACUGGGUCAAAGAGGAUGACCUUUCCUUAAUAGAGGAGGACCAGUCUUUGGUCAAGGGUAAAUGAGUAAAAGGGUAAAAGAGGAGAUCACUGAGAGGUUGAGGCCAGCCUGGGAUUACAAAGUGAGUUCCAGGUCAGCCUGAGACCUUGGCCAAAAAAAAAGUAAUAAUAAACUAUAAUAAUAAACUAUAUCAUUUGCU
This 332-nucleotide small RNA is filed under the name Jaculus jaculus (lesser Egyptian jerboa). RNAcentral's name for it is "7SK RNA (ENSJJAG00000001511.1)". The stretch from base 1 to 201 matches the Rfam family "7SK RNA". From Rfam's summary of the family: 7SK was discovered as an abundant small nuclear RNA in the mid-70s but a possible function has only recently been suggested. Two independent studies have found that 7SK RNA binds the CDK9/cyclin T complex (known as elongation factor P-TEFb). P-TEFb activates transcription by phosphorylating the C-terminal domain of RNA polymerase II. The record is from RNAcentral. Lineage: Eukaryota; Metazoa; Chordata; Mammalia; Rodentia; Dipodidae.